RNAcentral lists this ribosomal RNA (563 nucleotides) under Physcidia sp. RNAcentral describes it as "LSU rRNA". It matches the Rfam family "Eukaryotic large subunit ribosomal RNA", at positions 40 to 609 of the family's 3401-position model. The record is from RNAcentral. Lineage: Eukaryota; Fungi; Ascomycota; Lecanoromycetes; Lecanorales; Ramalinaceae.
AUAUCAAUAAGCGGAGGAAAAGAAACCAACAGGGAUUGCCUCAGUAACGGCGAGUGAAGCGGCAAUAGCUCAAAUUUGAAAUCUGGCCCUCUCGGGGCCCGAGUUGUAAUUUGUAGAGGAUGUUUCGGGCGGGGCCCCGGCCGAAGUUCCUUGGAACAGGGCGUCACAGAGGGUGAGAACCCCGUACGCGGCCGGCGACCGAGCCCAGGUGAAACUCCUUCGACGAGUCGAGUUGUUUGGGAAUGCAGCUCAAAAUGGGUGGUAAAUUUCAUCUAAAGCUAAAUACCGGCCAGAGACCGAUAGCGCACAAGUAGAGUGAUCGAAAGAUGAAAAGCACUUUGGAAAGAGAGUUAAAAAGCACGUGAAAUUGUUGAAAGGGAAGCGCUUACGAUCAGACCUGCGCGCGGGCGCUCAGCGGCGGUUAUCCGCCGAGCACUCGUCCGCGAUCAGGCCAGCAUCAGUUUCGGCGACCGGAGAAAGGCUCGAGGAAUGUAGCUCUCUUUCGGGGGAGUGUUAUAGCCUCGGGUGGCAUGCGGCCGGCUGGGACUGACGGCCUCGUUUCG